UGAGGAAUUUUGCGCAAUGGCCGCAAGGCUGACGCAGCAACGCCGCGUGGGUGAAGAAGGCCUUCGGGUCGUAAAGCCCUGUCAGGUGGGAAGAAAGGUUUCGUCAAGAAACGGAUGGAAUUUGACGGUACCACCAGAGGAAGCACCGGCUAACUCCGUGCCAGCAGCCGCGGUAAUACGGGGGGUGCGAGCGUUAUUCGGAAUUAUUGGGCGUAAAGCGCGAGUAGGCGGGGAUGCAAGUCUGAUGUGAAAGCCCUGGGCUUAACCUGGGAAGUGCAUUGGAAACUGCAUUUCUUGAGAACUGGAGAGGAAGGGGGAAUUCCCGGUGUAGAGGUGAAAUUCGUAGAGAUCGGGAGGAAUACCAGUGGCGUAGGCGCCUUUCUGGACGGUUACUGACGCUGAGACGCGAAAGCGUGGGGAGCAAACAG
Molecule: ribosomal RNA, 428 nt
Filed under: uncultured bacterium
Lineage: Bacteria
Description: bacterial SSU rRNA
Rfam family: Bacterial small subunit ribosomal RNA
Source: RNAcentral